AAAAAGGUCCUUCUCAGGACCACAAAUGAUCCAUAGCCUUAUUGG
Molecule: non-coding RNA, 45 nt
Organism: Columba livia (rock pigeon)
Lineage: Eukaryota; Metazoa; Chordata; Aves; Columbiformes; Columbidae
Source: Rfam